GCGUGGGGUUGAAAAAAAAAACACGUGAGUAACCUGCCCUUGACUUUGGGAUAACUUCAGGAAACUGGGGCUAAUACCGGAUAGGAGCUCCUGCUGCAUGGUGGGGGUUGGAAAGUUUCGGCGGUUGGGGAUGGACUCGCGGCUUAUCAGCUUGUUGGUGGGGUAGUGGCUUACCAAGGCUUUGACGGGUAGCCGGCCUGAGAGGGUGACCGGCCAAAUUGGGACUGAGAUACGGCCAAGACUCCUACGGGAGGCAGCAGUGGGGAAUAUUGCACAAUGGGCGGAAGCCUGAUGCAGCAACGCCUUGUUUGUGAAAACGUCCGGCGGCCUCUGAAAUCUACACACAG
RNAcentral lists this ribosomal RNA (347 nucleotides) under uncultured bacterium. RNAcentral's name for it is "partial 16S ribosomal RNA". The stretch from base 1 to 304 matches the Rfam family "Bacterial small subunit ribosomal RNA", at positions 98 to 398 of the family's 1533-position model. The record is from RNAcentral.